GCGUUUCUGGAGAGUAUCCGCACCGCAGCCCGACCCUGACGCAAGGAGUGAGGACUCCCUUCAAGAGGAGUCCUUUGAAUCCUGGUGCACCAUCACGAAGACAUCCAAGGAAGACCUGCGCACGGACGCACUUUGGAGCCAGCAGCCUCAGAAAGAGAAUGCAACAUCAGAUAUUCAAAUUGAAGAUUUAGAGUAAGAAGAAGAUCUGAGACUGCUGGCUCCAAAGUGUGUCCGUCGCGCUGCCCAGG
Anolis sagrei ordinatus is the source of this 248-nucleotide non-coding RNA. Lineage: Eukaryota; Metazoa; Chordata; Lepidosauria; Squamata; Anolidae. The record is from RefSeq and is a predicted model, not a curated record.